This 450-nucleotide ribosomal RNA is filed under the name uncultured bacterium. RNAcentral describes it as "bacterial SSU rRNA". It matches the Rfam family "Bacterial small subunit ribosomal RNA", at positions 354 to 796 of the family's 1533-position model. The record is from RNAcentral.
GUGGGGAAUUUUGGACAAUGGGGGCAACCCUGAUCCAGCCAUGCCGCGUGCGGGAAGAAGGCCUUCGGGUUGUAAACCGCUUUUGUCAGGGAAGAAAUCCUUUGGGUUAAUACCUCGGAGGGAUGACGGUACCUGAAGAAUAAACACCGGCUAACUACGUGCCAGCAGCCGCGGUAAUACGUAGGGUGCGAGCGUUAAUCGGAAUUACUGGGCGUAAAGCGUGCGCAGGCGGUUUUGUAAGAUCGAUGUGAAAUCCCCGGGCUCAACCUGGGAACUGCAUUGGUGACUGCAAGGCUGGAGUGCGGCAGAGGGGGAUGGAAUUCCGCGUGUAGCAGUGAAAUGCGUAGAUAUGCGGAGGAACACCGAUGGCGAAGGCAAUCCCCUGGGCCUGCACUGACGCUCAUGCACGAAAGCGUGGGGAGCAAACAGGAUUAGAAACCCUGGUAGUCC